RNAcentral lists this ribosomal RNA (301 nucleotides) under uncultured bacterium. Its description in RNAcentral is "partial 16S ribosomal RNA". It matches the Rfam family "Bacterial small subunit ribosomal RNA", at positions 509 to 807 of the family's 1533-position model. The record is from RNAcentral.
CAGCAGCCGCGGUAAAACGAAGGGGGCUAGCGUUACUCGGAAUUACUGGGCGUAAAGGGCGCGUAGGCGGCACGAUUAGUCCGGCGUGAAAUUCCUGGGCUCAACCUGGGGACUGCGCUUGAUACGGUCGAGCUAGAGGAUGGAAGAGGGUCGUGGAAUUCCCAGUGUAGAGGUGAAAUUCGUAGAUAUUGGGAAGAACACCGGUGGCGAAGGCGGCGACCUGGUCCAUUACUGACGCUGAGGCGCGACAGCGUGGGGAGCAAACAGGAUUAGAUACCCCCGUAGUCCCUGUCUCUUAUAC